Molecule: long non-coding RNA, 314 nt
Organism: Amphiprion ocellaris (clown anemonefish)
Lineage: Eukaryota; Metazoa; Chordata; Actinopteri; Pomacentridae
Source: Ensembl
ACCGGAAAGUAGCUAAACAGACAGACUGCUGACGUCUGACGUUACGCACCAGCAAACACCACCCUCCUGUUUCUGUGAGGGGACUGUGCUGUUAAAGGGGCCACUGCUUUCUCAGGAAGUGUGUUAAUUCCAGAUCACAUGACCUUCUCCAUGAUGUCAUUUCCUCCUGAAGAAAAGACUGGCAAGACUCCAAGGCUUUCUGAGUUAUUUUAAAUCUUUUAUUAUUGAUUUUAAUGUUUAUUGAUUUUAAUUAACUGUUUUGUUUUAUUUUAUUGUAUUUUAUGUACAGCGUCUUUGAGUUACUUGUAAAGCAC